GCUACAUGGUGGCAAAUAUACUAGCACGUUGGAUUGCAAAUCUGAAGAUGUGGAAACACUGUAGCU
Molecule: transfer RNA, 66 nt
Filed under: Metanephrops thomsoni
Lineage: Eukaryota; Metazoa; Arthropoda; Malacostraca; Decapoda; Nephropidae
Description: tRNA-Cys
Source: RNAcentral